CAAGUCAGAGUCGGGGCAUUCACGCGGAUAUCCAAGCCACACUUUAAAGAGCAACUACUGGGAGGUUGGAGCUGGAAACAAAAAGUAUGGAUACUAGCAUUCUCAAAAGACACACCAGCUCAUGUGCGAGAUUUGUAAAAAGUGAUUUAUUGCAUCGCUGUUUACUAAUGAGAAAGGCUGGAAUCCCAGCCACUCACGAACAGGACUGAACAAACGUUCACCCGCACCGUAAAACGCGGCACAGACGAAGAGCGCGAAGCUCAUCCCAAGGAGUAUUUUGUACAAAGAGGACAAGGGGCAUAAAGCCAGGUAUAGUCUGCCCGGUCUGUGUAAGAAGGGGAGGGAAAGUAUCUGUGCAUUUAUUCACGCAGAAAAUACCCCGGAAGGAGACAGAAGACACUGAUAACGCUGGUGGCCACUGGACAGGGCAGGCGCGGAGCAGGGACGAGGGAGUGAGGGGGGCUUGUGCCAUCACCCCAUCUGAAUACUGAGCCAUGUAAAGAUAUUACAUAUUUAUAAAGUUAUUUAAGGUGCUAGUUCAAAAA
This is a non-coding RNA of Miniopterus natalensis, 545 nucleotides long. The record is from RefSeq and is a predicted model, not a curated record. Lineage: Eukaryota; Metazoa; Chordata; Mammalia; Chiroptera; Miniopteridae.